GUCACAUCUGCUUUUGCUCAUUAGGGUUCGUGGGUGUGAACGUCGAAGCUUCCCUCAGAGAGAGAAAGGAAUACACCAGCCAUAUGUAAAAGAUGUGAUUGUUUGAAUGGAAAAGAAAGUUGAGUUCCCAUGGCAUUUGAACACCCAGAUGAUGCUUGUUAGGUUUGCAUUCUUAUCUUUGCAACUUGCUCUCUGAUUUGACAAUCAGCAGGUACUUUAUUCUUCUACUUAUUCCUUCAAGCAUCCAUCCAGUUAAAGUUGCAGCAGCCUCUGCAGGGGCGAUAUUUAAUGGCCAUAUCUGUCAACUUUCGAUUGGUUCUCUUUAGUUUUUGUUUAUCUUUAUGAUCCACUGAUAUUAUCAAGUCGUGGUUAGCUAGCUGGAAAUAACUCACGAAUAAAGACAACAAACACCAGUUGCAGAGAAGAUCCAGUGGCGAGUCUUGGUUGAUGACAAAGAGAAAGUAAUAGUAACAACAGUUAGGAUUCCAAGGGUCUCUUCUUCACCAUGCUUUGGAAGUAGAGCUAUAUCUCAGUGGAGACUGAUAGUUAGAAAUGACUGUUUGUGAACAUGAAACAAAUCUAUUCAUACGACCAGUAAGAUGAAGUGGAAAACAUAGAAAGGCAUGUUUGGUAAAAUGGCACAAACAUAUAUCCUUUUAUGACAUGGAAUUUGGCAUGCUGAUCGAAUUAGAAUCCAAAUUUUGUGUAGACUUUUUCGAUGUAAGACACAUUUUGGGCUUAAAUCGCAAAGUAUUUUGCU
Long non-coding RNA from Zingiber officinale, 760 nucleotides. RefSeq lists it as uncharacterized. The transcript has 3 exons. NCBI's taxonomy places the organism in Eukaryota, Viridiplantae, Streptophyta, Magnoliopsida, Zingiberales, Zingiberaceae. The record is from RefSeq and is a predicted model, not a curated record.